Long non-coding RNA from Stegostoma tigrinum, 4269 nucleotides. RefSeq lists it as uncharacterized. The transcript has 3 exons. NCBI's taxonomy places the organism in Eukaryota, Metazoa, Chordata, Chondrichthyes, Orectolobiformes, Stegostomatidae. The record is from RefSeq and is a predicted model, not a curated record.
UUAUUAAUAUAUAACACGAACCUUUGGGAAACAUGCAAGUACCUCAAACAGUUGAAAGCAAUCUCUUAAGUCGAUCAUACCUGGCGUGAAAUGAUGAAGACCUCAAAGUAAAGGAAACAGCAAGAGAUAAAAACAUCCAAAUUCUGAAACCAGUUUUACCCUGAUCCGGCAGGUUCUUGUUGUUUCGGUUUCCCGGUGUUAAACUCGAAACAAACAAGUCGCCUCAGAAGAAGGAUUUUGCAGAAGUUGGAACAGAGUUGGUACAGUUUGACUGGAGCGAGGACGGCAGGCUCGGUGUGCGCGUGCCCGCUCCCCGGCGCGCGCCUGUCAUGCUCUCCGCUUUGGAACGUCCCCAGAGCCAGUAACUUCCAUUCGAGAGGCGCAUCCAGUAGAGGCGCCACUUGGCUCCUACCUGUCUGCUGCACGUGACCGCCGAAACCAGCUGCCUCAAAUGGGCAACAGAAUGAAGAACCUCCUCCUCAUCUCAUUUUUGGUAUCUUUAGUCAAUCUGUCUGGACAUGUUAUGAUACAACUCUGAACAAGGUGGGACUUAAAUCCAGGCCUUUUGCCCAGAGAUGCUGUCAGUUUUCUGAUGAAGAGUCUAGGCCUGAAACAUCAGCUUUUGUGCUCCUAAGAUGCUGCUUGGCCUGCUGUGUUCAUCCAGCUUCACACUUUGAUGUUUCUCCAGUUCACAGUUUUUGCUCCAAGCUCCCACUUACUUGCCACCUCAAACACCUUGAAUUAGGAUCUGGUCCCCGCUGUUACUUUCUUCUUUACCUCUGAUCAUUUUUGUCUGAUUAGAUUUCUGUGAAGCAUCUUGGGAUUUUUUUUCUAUGUUUAAGUAUUCCAUAUAGACAACAUGUUGUCUUUGCAUUCUGUUCUGAUCAACAUCACACCAGGCAAGAUAAAAGACAAAUUCUGGAGUACCCAAAAGAUGACUGAUACCUAGAAUUCUAGUGGAGGCGAAAACUCCAAUAGCUGUAAUAAAGCGAUUAAAUAUCUCACGUCAGCGUUCAAGUUUCUGCAGAGAUAACUUAAUAAUAAAUUAUCCAGAUGCUGUAAUCUUUGUGACAUAAUAAAUGACACAAAACAAAAGAUUUCUUACUUUUCCAGCUGCUGGUUUUUCAAAACUGGAUGCUGGUAGCCAAAUAACACUGGACCACUUUGAAGUUCAGAAUGGCAAUGUCUUCUAUUCACGAACUAAAUUAACAGUAAACUUCCUUUGGUAAAUAAAGUGGUACUCUAUUAUUUGUUAAAACAGUGCAUAUUUCUUGUACCCUAAACUUUGGCAUACUCCGUAGAAAAUUCUGAUGAUUUUUUUUCUAAAAACUCUAAGUAAAACAUUGAAAUGUAUACAUUUAAGUACUGAUGUUUAUGAUGACUUUUAAAUUGUUAUAUAUAAGCAUGUGAAUCUUUCCAGAUGCCACUAAAGUACAGAGAUUUCUCAAUCUGAACUAACAGACAAAAAUAAAUACUAGAUGAAAUGUUCCUUACAGCAAUUCAUUGUAGCAGCUUGAGAACCAUUGCCCAGAAGUAUGUUAUGGAAGAUGGCAUUCCUGGUUGAAAAUCAACCUCCUGCUACAAUGUCAGAAGCAAAUAUACAGAAGGUGUCCAUUUGUUAAUUUUUUUAGUUGGUGCAUUCAUUCCAUAAAAAUCCAUUUGUAAAAGUGAACUUUCUAUUUUUUAUCAUAUAGGACGUGAGUUUUAGUUACUGAAAAUCUCACUUUAAAACAGACACAUAUGAUUUACAUACUUUAUUAACAUAUUUUACAGUCAUAUUUUGAUUAAUCCCAAGGUUUUCAAUAUGCCAGAAAAUGUUCAGCUUUUACAGUAAUGUACUGUAUUUAACAUUCAUUCAUACAGGGUAACACACUGGUGAACACAAUUUUUAUCUCAAAUUACACACCACUUAUUUGAUAAUAUUAAUUUGGUUAGUGGGUCUUGGAAAACAUAGGAAAACUAAAAUAAAAAUCCAGCAGCAUAUAUGAAUUCAAGUACACUUUUAAAUCAUCUGCAUAUCUGGCAAUCAAACUGCACUAGUAUGGGAACAAAAAGUGAAUGAAAGCCGAUGAUCAUCCUUCAGAGUUAGAGCAAAAAGGAAUACUCCAUGUAUACUUAUUGGAAGAUGAUUCAUAAUUAAAUACCAUACUGACAGCAUAGUAGGUACAAUUAUAUACCUGUACUCAUUGCUGUCUGGUUUUUAAACAUAUACUGUUGGUUAAAUUGUUGAAUUAUUUAAUGCUGUCAAUUAGAAAUAAAAGUUUAACUACCAUUCUGCUCUGCACUCAGGGCCUUUCAAAUUCUUAAAAGAUUCCUUGACGUAUUUGUCAUUACAUAUUAUUGUCUGUCAGUUAUUCUUGCACGUCAGAUAUUGUAUAAGCAUUAACUCACAAUUUUUGUAGGAUUUUAAAAAUACUAAUUAAAGAGAAAUUGUAUCUAAAUAAACAAAUUACCUGAUUACCCAUUAUACAUCAAGUUUCAAUAGCUCCCAAUGUUUACAAAUAUGAAUCAUUCCAAACAAUCUCACAAUCUAGUCCAUGAUAACUCUGACAGGGCCUAUCUAUUAUUGGGUCGCUUUUCUGUAGUUUUGAAUUGCAGCAUAUAAUUAAUAUCUCCCUUUAAGAUGUGAUUUUAUAAAAUUCUUUAAGUUUUCAUGAUUUGUAUUCAGAAUUUCACCUUUUUGUGAUUUAGUACACAGAAACAUUUGUUGACAGGUAUGUGUACUUUUACAUUCGAUAUAAAUAUGACUGAAAUGCUUUUUCCCUCAGAACACCAAAAUCAAAAUCAAACUCAUUUUAUGCAGUUUUUGUACUGGAAUUUGGAUUUGUCCAGUCUUGCUAUAUUUUAAUCAGAAGCUGUAUAUUAUUUGCUAAAGAUUGAAUUUAAAAAAGGGAACAAUAGACAAGAAACAAAAUUGCACAUCUUCUAAAUUGAAGAUAUUUCUAUAACGAAAAGAAAAUACAAGAAGUGCCCACAAAUUCUUGCAGUUAAAUUUUGAAUCCCAUUUGCACUUUGGUUACGAGAAUACAUUAGGACUGUUCAUUUCCCAUAUCAUCUGAAUGUCUGCUGUUUAGUAAAUCAGAUAAAAAAAGGUAGUAAUUACACUGCAUAAUUGUAAUACAAAUAAACCGAGUGCUGACAGUGGUUGUCUGAAACAGAAAUUUGCCAUAGGGAGGGCCUGUGUAUUUUCAUUCUAAUCAUUGCAUAACAUACCACAGUAUCCAAUUUGAAUGCUGAUUGGAUUAAAGUUGGUCAAGGUUGCACAUUUGUAAUGAGAAAAUUCUUCUUUUUAAAUGGUGACCAAACUUGGUAAACACACCGUCUCCAUAAGGUGCUUAUAAAUUGCAAAGCAUAAAGCUAGGCUCCCAAAUAAGCAAUUUAUUAAAAAGAUAUUUGUUCUGUUACUAGCAGCAGUCAGUCCCAAUAUUUCUUUUGCUCAGUUACCUUUAACAAAAUAAGAAACAAAAUUUCCUGAGACUGAAUGUUUUACAGCCUAUUUUUGUUUUAAUUAGGAAGUUUCUACAGAUUGAAGCCUUUUUUUGUAAAUUCCUUUUAAAUAAACUGGGCACAUUACAGUAAACUUAAUGAAAAUUACUAUGGCCAGAUAAAAAUCAAAACCUCUUAAAGCAAAGAAAAAAAACUCAGCAUAGACUAAUCAGAAAAAAAAUGUAAUAACAAAUGAAGCAGGCUUCAAAUAAUUAAUUUCUAAAUAGUGUACUGCCAUCAAGUGUAUAGGACCAGAUUUCACCCACCUAUGAAUGUGCACUUUUUCCAAGGAAACAAAAUUAGCAACCAACCUUUCAAAAAUAACACAUUAUAUCAAUCUUGGCCAUAUUCUAUAAACAUUUCAUCUAUUUUAGUGAGGAGCACACAAAUUCAAAUUGUGCUUUUUGUACACAUACUUUGCUACAAUUUCUUUAUUAUGACUAAUAAAUAAAACACUCUUUAGUCUAUUGAAGAUAGUUUAGCCCAUUGCAAGAGACAGGCUUUUAGCUUUGCUGGGAUUUUUCACAGAGUGCCAUAAAAUGGAUAUUAAUAGCACCUUCGCAGAAUAAUGAUCUUGUGGUUUGUUUUGUAAUAAAAUGGUUAUUUUUAAAAAUAAAUUUCACAACAUUAGUAUGAACUAAAGCUUCUCGAUGACCAUGUUUCAGGAAAGAUUUGUAAGUCAGUUAUAAUCCAUUGUAAUGUGGCCCCCAUCUCUUAUUGAUGUGAUCAAAGGUAUGUGUCACCCACUGUUGCUCCAAAACUUUAUAGCGUUCACUGCACAAG